UACGUAGGGGGCAAGCGUUGUCCGGAAUCAUUGGGCGUAAAGAGCGUGUAGGCGGCUUGGUAAGUCCGCUGUGAAAGUCCAGGGCUCAACCCUGGAAUGCCGGUGGAAACUGUCAAGCUUGAGUCCGGAAGAGGCGAGUGGAAUUCCUGGUGUAGCGGUGAAAUGCGCAGAUAUCAGGAAGAACACCCGUGGCUAAGGCGGCUCUCUAGUACGGUACUGACGCUGAGACGCGAAAGCGUGGGGAGCGAACAGG
Molecule: ribosomal RNA, 253 nt
Filed under: uncultured bacterium
Lineage: Bacteria
Description: partial 16S ribosomal RNA
Rfam family: Bacterial small subunit ribosomal RNA
Source: RNAcentral